Molecule: ribosomal RNA, 501 nt
Filed under: uncultured bacterium
Lineage: Bacteria
Description: bacterial SSU rRNA
Rfam family: Bacterial small subunit ribosomal RNA
Source: RNAcentral
UAGGAUGAACGCUAGCGACAGGCCUAACACAUGCAAGUCGAGGGGCAGCACAAGGAGCAAUCUGAGGUGGCGGACUGGCGCACGGGUGAGUAACACGUAUGCAACCUGCCUGUAAGCGGGGAAUAACCCGUUGAAAGACGGACUAAUACCGCAUAAUACUAAAUUACUGCAUGGUAAUUUAUUUAAACAUUUAUGGCUUACAGAUGGGCAUGCGCAUGAUUAGCUAGUUGGAGAGGUAACGGCUCCCCAAGGCAACGAUCAUUAGGGGUUCUGAGAGGAAGGUCCCCCACACUGGUACUGAGACACGGACCAGACUCCUACGGGAGGCAGCAGUGAGGAAUAUUGGUCAAUGGACGAGAGUCUGAACCAGCCAAGUCGCGUGCAGGAAGAAUGUCCUUAAUGGAUUGUAAACUGCUUUUGCAGGGGAAUAAAGUGCAUCACGUGUGAUGUUUUGUAUGUACUCUGCGAAUAAGGAUCGGCUAACUCCGUGCCAGCAGCAGC